Molecule: ribosomal RNA, 494 nt
Filed under: uncultured bacterium
Lineage: Bacteria
Description: partial 16S ribosomal RNA
Rfam family: Bacterial small subunit ribosomal RNA
Source: RNAcentral
GAUGAACGCUGGCGGCGUGCUUAACACAUGCAAGUCGAGCGAAGCACUUUUAAGGAAGUUUUCGGAUGGAAUUAAAAGUGACUGAGCGGCGGACGGGUGAGUAACGCGUAGGUAACCUGCCUCAUACAGGGGGAUAACAGUUGGAAACGACUGCUAAUACCGCAUAAGCGCACGGUGUCACAUGACACGGUGUGAAAAACUCCGGUGGUAUGAGAUGGACCCGCGUCUGAUUAGGUAGUUGGUGAGGGAACGGCCCACCAAGCCGACGAUCAGUAGCCGACCUGAGAGGGUGACCGGCCACAUUGGGACUGAGACACGGCCCAAACUCCUACGGGAGGCAGCAGUGGGGAAUAUUGGACAAUGGGGGAAACCCUGAUCCAGCGACGCCGCGUGAGUGAAGGAGUAUUUCGGUAUGUAAAGCUCUAUCAGCAGGGAAGAAAAUGACGGUACCUGACUAAGAAGCCCCGGCUAACUACGUGCCAGCCGCCGCGUAA